GUGCAAGUCUUUACAGCAAGUCUCAGUCAGCUCAUGGCUGUGCCUUUCCUGGUACUUGCUAGAUUGUUGUUGAUUGUUGUUUGAGACCUUGCUUUAACUUCCCGCAAAGCAAGGUUAUAGAAACUUCACACAUUU
RNAcentral lists this small nucleolar RNA (135 nucleotides) under Callorhinchus milii (elephant shark). Its description in RNAcentral is "Small nucleolar RNA SNORA9 (ENSCMIG00000001911.1)". The record is from RNAcentral. Lineage: Eukaryota; Metazoa; Chordata; Chondrichthyes; Chimaeriformes; Callorhinchidae.